GGUUAAGUGACUAAGCGUACACGGUGGAUGCCUAGGCAGUCAGAGGCGAUGAAGGGCGUGCUAAUCUGCGAAAAGCGUCGGUAAGGUGAUAUGAACCGUUAUAACCGGCGAUACCCGAAUGGGGAAACCCAGUGUGUUUCGACACACUAUCAUGUCAUGAAUACAUAGUGGCAUGAGGCGAACCGGGGGAACUGAAACAUCUAAGUACCCCGAGGAAAAGAAAUCAACCGAGAUUCCCCCAGUAGCGGCGAGCGAACGGGGAGGAGCCCAGAACCUGAAUCGGCUUGUGUGUUAGUGGAAGCGUCUGGAAAGUCGCGCAGCAAAGGGUGAUAGCCCCGUACACUAAAAUGCACAGGUCGUGAGUUCGAUGAGUAGGGCGGGACACGUGACAUCCUGUCUGAAUAUGGGGGGACCAUCCUCCAAGGCUAAAUACUCCUGACUGACCGAUAGUGAACCAGUACCGUGAGGGAAAGGCGAAAAGAACCCCGGCGAGGGGAGUGAAAUAGAACCUGAAACCGUGUACGUACAAGCAGUGGGAGCACCUUCGUGGUGUGACUGCGUACCUUUUGUAUAAUGGGUCAGCGACUUAUAUUUUGUAGCAAGGUUAACCGUAUAGGGGAGCCGUAGGGAAACCGAGUCUUAACUGGGCGAUUAGUUGCAAGGUAUAGACCCGAAACCCGGUGAUCUAGCCAUGGGCAGGUUGAAGGUUGGGUAACACUAACUGGAGGACCGAACCGACUAAUGUUGAAAAAUUAGCGGAUGACUUGUGGCUGGGGGUGAAAGGCCAAUCAAACCGGGAGAUAGCUGGUUCUCCCCGAAAGCUAUUUAGGUAGCGCCUCGUGAACUCAUCUUCGGGGGUAGAGCACUGUUUCGGCUAGGGGGCCAUCCCGGCUUACCAAACCGAUGCAAACUCCGAAUACCGAAGAAUGUUAUCACGGGAGACACACGGCGGGUGCUAACGUCCGUCGUGAAGAGGGAAACAACCCAGACCGCCAGCUAAGGUCCCAAAGUCAUGGUUAAGUGGGAAACGAUGUGGGAAGGCAUAGACAGCCAGGAUGUUGGCUUAGAAGCAGCCAUCAUUUAAAGAAAGCGUAAUAGCUCACUGGUCGAGUCGGCCUGCGCGGAAGAUGUAACGGGGCUAAACCAUGCACCGAAGCUGCGGCAGCGACGCUUAGGCGUUGUUGGGUAGGGGAGCGUUCUGUAAGCCGUUGAAGGUGGCCUGUGAGGGUUGCUGGAGGUAUCAGAAGUGCGAAUGCUGACAUAAGUAACGAUAAAGCGGGUGAAAAGCCCGCUCGCCGGAAGACCAAGGGUUCCUGUCCAACGUUAAUCGGGGCAGGGUGAGUCGACCCCUAAGGCGAGGCUGAAAAGCGUAGUCGAUGGGAAACAGGUUAAUAUUCCUGUACUUGGUGUUACUGCGAAGGGGGGACGGAGAAGGCUAGGCUGGCCGGGCGACGGUUGUCCCGGUUUAAGCGUGUAGGGGGUGUGACCUGGUAAAUCCGGUUGCAUA
RNAcentral lists this ribosomal RNA (1507 nucleotides) under Serratia marcescens. RNAcentral describes it as "partial 23S ribosomal RNA". It matches the Rfam family "Bacterial large subunit ribosomal RNA", at positions 1 to 1552 of the family's 2925-position model. Lineage: Bacteria; Pseudomonadati; Pseudomonadota; Gammaproteobacteria; Enterobacterales; Yersiniaceae. The record is from RNAcentral.